UCCCUUCUAGCUCAGCUGGUAAAGAAUCCGCCUGCAAUGCGGGAGACCUGGGUUCAAUCGCUGGGUAGGGAA
Molecule: non-coding RNA, 72 nt
Organism: Bos taurus (domestic cattle)
Lineage: Eukaryota; Metazoa; Chordata; Mammalia; Artiodactyla; Bovidae
Source: Rfam